GCGAAGGUGGCGGAAUUGGUAGACGCGCUAGCUUCAGGUGUUAGUGUCCUUAGGAUGUGGGGCUUCGAGUCCCCCCCCUCGCACCA
RNAcentral lists this transfer RNA (86 nucleotides) under Enterobacter hormaechei. RNAcentral describes it as "tRNA-Leu". It matches the Rfam family "tRNA". Rfam says of the family: Transfer RNA (tRNA) molecules are approximately 80 nucleotides in length. Their secondary structure includes four short double-helical elements and three loops (D, anti-codon, and T loops). Further hydrogen bonds mediate the characteristic L-shaped molecular structure. tRNAs have two regions of fundamental functional importance: the anti-codon, which is responsible for specific mRNA codon recognition, and the 3' end, to which the tRNAs corresponding amino acid is attached (by aminoacyl-tRNA synthetases). tRNAs cope with the degeneracy of the genetic code in two manners: having more than one tRNA (with a specific anti-codon) for a particular amino acid; and 'wobble' base-pairing, i.e. permitting non-standard base-pairing at the 3rd anti-codon position. Lineage: Bacteria; Pseudomonadati; Pseudomonadota; Gammaproteobacteria; Enterobacterales; Enterobacteriaceae. The record is from RNAcentral.